This 301-nucleotide ribosomal RNA is filed under the name uncultured bacterium. RNAcentral describes it as "partial 16S ribosomal RNA". It matches the Rfam family "Bacterial small subunit ribosomal RNA", at positions 509 to 807 of the family's 1533-position model. The record is from RNAcentral.
CAGCCGCCGCGGUAAAACGGAGGGUGCAAGCGUUAAUCGGAAUUACUGGGCGUAAAGCGCACGCAGGCGGUCUGUCAAGUCGGAUGUGAAAUCCCCGGGCUCAACCUGGGAACUGCAUUCGAGACUGGCAGGCUAGAGUCUUGGAGAGGGGGGUAGAAUUCCAGGUGUAGCGGUGAAAUGCGUAGAGAUCUGGAGGAAUACCGGUGGCGAAGGCGGCUCCCUGGACAAAGACUGACGCUCAGGUGCGAAAGCGUGGGGAGCAAACAGGAUUAGAUACCCACGUAGUCCCUGUCUCUUAUAC